AAGUUCCUACGGGAGGCAGCAGUGGGGGAUAUUGGACAAUGGGGGGAACCCUGAUCCAGCGACGCCGCGUGAGUGAAGAAGUAUUUCGGUAUGUAAAGCUCUAUCAGCAGGGAAGAGAAUGACGGUACCUGACUAAGAAGCCCCGGCUAACUACGUGCCAGCAGCCGCGGUAAUACGUAGGGGGCGAGCGUUAUCCGGAUUUGCUGGGUGUAAAGGGAGCGUAGACGGUUCUGCAAGUCUGAAGUGAAAGCCCGUGGCUUAACCGCGGCACGGCUUUGGAAACUGUGGAACGGGAGUGCUGGAGG
Molecule: ribosomal RNA, 305 nt
Filed under: uncultured bacterium
Lineage: Bacteria
Description: bacterial SSU rRNA
Rfam family: Bacterial small subunit ribosomal RNA
Source: RNAcentral